RNAcentral lists this ribosomal RNA (253 nucleotides) under uncultured bacterium. RNAcentral describes it as "partial 16S ribosomal RNA". It matches the Rfam family "Bacterial small subunit ribosomal RNA", at positions 524 to 776 of the family's 1533-position model. The record is from RNAcentral.
UACGGGGGGGGCAAGCGUUGUUCGGAAUUACUGGGCGUAAAGGGCUCGUAGGCGGCCGCUUAAGUCAGACGUGAAAUCCCUCGGCUCAACCGGGGCACUGCGUCUGAGACUGAAUGGCUUGAAUCCGGGAGAGGGAUGCGGAAUUCCCGGUGUAGCGGUGAAAUGCGCAGAUAUCGGGAGGAACACCGGUGGCGAAGGCGGUUCUCUGGGCCUUACCUGACGCUGAGGAGCGAAAGCGUGGGGAGCGAACAGG